This 492-nucleotide ribosomal RNA is filed under the name uncultured bacterium. Its description in RNAcentral is "partial 16S ribosomal RNA". It matches the Rfam family "Bacterial small subunit ribosomal RNA", at positions 29 to 507 of the family's 1533-position model. The record is from RNAcentral.
AGUGAACGCUGGCGGUAGGCCUAACACAUGCAAGUCGAACGGCAGCACAGUAAGAGCUUGCUCUUACGGGUGGCGAGUGGCGGACGGGUGAGGAAUACAUCGGAAUCUACUUUUUCGUGGGGGAUAACGGAGGGAAACUUACGCUAAUACCGCAUACGACCUACGGGUGAAAGCAGGGGAUCUUCGGACCUUGCGCGACUGAAUGAGCCGAUGUCGGAUUAGCUAGUUGGCGGGGUAAAGGCCCACCAAGGCGACGAUCCGUAGCUGGUCUGAGAGGAUGAUCAGCCACACUGGAACUGAGACACGGUCCAGACUCCUACGGGAGGCAGCAGUGGGGAAUCUUGGACAAUGGGCGCAAGCCUGAUCCAGCCAUACCGCGUGGGUGAAGAAGGCCUUCGGGUUGUAAAGCCCUUUUGUUGGGAAAGAAAAGCAGCAGGUUAAUACCCCGCUGUUCUGACGGUACCCAAAGAAUAAGCACCGGCUAACUUCGUG